ACUGGACCAUCAGGGAAGUCCCUCGUUUUGCUAUUAAACAUAAUUGCAGAGAAGGAGGAAACCACUGUGAUGGAAGAGAAGGCUCCUUGCUGUGCACCGCUGGUACCUUCCAUGGAUGCUGAGAACCAACUACAUGCUCUUCUCUAACAGGAGCCCUGAGUGGUCAAGUCUGGUCUCUGGUCCUGAAGCUAAAUCUUCUUCGGAGAUCAUGAAUCCAACAUCGUUCACUGUAAGCUAUCAGGACUUCCCUGAAGUCCAGAGGUUAUGACUUCACCUUCCAAUGCAACCGGUGUAGGGAGCUAGGAUCGCAUCUGCCUCCUGGCCAAAAAAAAACACAAAAGGAAUAUUGCAACAAAUUUGAGAAAGACUUGAAAAAUGGUUCACAUUAAAAAAAAAACAAAACUUUGAAAAAUAAAC
Long non-coding RNA from Bubalus bubalis (water buffalo), 417 nucleotides. RefSeq lists it as uncharacterized. The record is from RefSeq and is a predicted model, not a curated record. The transcript has 2 exons. NCBI's taxonomy places the organism in Eukaryota, Metazoa, Chordata, Mammalia, Artiodactyla, Bovidae.